AGAGUUUGAUCCUGGCUCAGGAUGAACGCUAGCUACAGGCUUAACACAUGCAAGUCGAGGGGCAGCAUGGUCUUAGCUUGCUAAGGCCGAUGGCGACCGGCGCACGGGUGAGUAACGCGUAUCCAACCUGCCCAUCACUUGGGGAUAACCUUGCGAAAGUAAGACUAAUACCCAAUGAUAUCUCUAGAAGACAUCUGAAAGAGAUUAAAGAUUUAUCGGUGAUGGAUGGGGAUGCGUCUGAUUAGCUUGUUGGCGGGGUAACGGCCCACCAAGGCAACGAUCAGUAGGGGUUCUGAGAGGAAGGUCCCCCACAUUGGAACUGAGACNCGGUCCAAACUCCUACGGGAGGCAGCA
RNAcentral lists this ribosomal RNA (354 nucleotides) under uncultured bacterium. RNAcentral describes it as "bacterial SSU rRNA". It matches the Rfam family "Bacterial small subunit ribosomal RNA", at positions 8 to 353 of the family's 1533-position model. The record is from RNAcentral.